Molecule: long non-coding RNA, 323 nt
Organism: Chiroxiphia lanceolata (lance-tailed manakin)
Lineage: Eukaryota; Metazoa; Chordata; Aves; Passeriformes; Pipridae
Exons: 3
Source: RefSeq, a predicted model, not a curated record
GGGCGUUGCAGGGCCUGAGUUCUCGAAGGUGUCUGUCUGGGAUGCAGAAGAGGAAGCAGUGGCUCUCUACAGAAUAUCCCAAACAGCGUUCCACUAACUUAAAUGCAAAUCAGUCCUGAAGCUGCAGGGUAUCAUGAGACUCCACAACAGUCCCUGUAUUUAAGCAUGGUUUCAGGUGCUCCAGAAGAAGGUAGAAACAUGACACUUCACCUGGAUGCUGCCUCAAGAUUGAGAAACCAGAAGCUGCGGGUGCUGAACAUGGCACACUGUGUUAACUUCUGGAGUGAUCUGUGUAAAACUUUCAGCCCUGACACAUGGUUGCA